CCCUUAGAUGUUCUGGGCUGCACGCGCGCUACACUGAUGCGUUCAACGAGUUUAUGACCUUGCCCGAUAGGGUUGGGUAAUCUUUUUAAAUCGCAUCGUGAUGGGGAUAGAUUAUUGCAAUUAUUAAUCUUCAACGAGGAAUUCCUAGUAAGCGCGAGUCAUCAGCUCGUGCUGAUUACGUCCCUGCCCUUUGUACACACCGCCCGUCGCACCUACCGAUUGAAUGGUCCGGUGAAAUCUCGGGACGGCGGCUUGGUCGCUUGCGUCCGACUGCUGAAACUUGAUUAAACCAUAUCAUUUAGAGGAAGGUGAAGUCGUANCA
This 322-nucleotide ribosomal RNA is filed under the name uncultured eukaryote. RNAcentral's name for it is "partial 18S ribosomal RNA". It matches the Rfam family "Eukaryotic small subunit ribosomal RNA", at positions 1470 to 1796 of the family's 1831-position model. The record is from RNAcentral.